Molecule: long non-coding RNA, 700 nt
Filed under: Brachypodium distachyon (stiff brome)
Lineage: Eukaryota; Viridiplantae; Streptophyta; Magnoliopsida; Poales; Poaceae
Description: long non-coding RNA (BDIS_LNC000824)
Source: RNAcentral
GCGGUGGGGGAGGAAGGAAGGAGGCGGGCCGAUGUCGGGCACGAGAAGGAGAGUGAGUGAGAGAGACAAAGGAGAUAGGGUUAGGUGAAUCUUUGUCGGCGGCCCGAUAAAAAGCCGCCGCCGGCCCUUACUAAAGCCGCCGGCAAAUCCCAUUUUUCCUUUUUUUUUCUUUCCUUACUUAUUUACUUCACAAACUUGGGAUUUCUUGCCACUUUAAUUUGUCUUACUGUUUUACUAGAAAAUGUGUGCAAGGAAAACCAAAAAUUUAACUCAAGUCAUCACUAAUUUCAGCUUCGUCGAUUCUAAAUCAGACGUCACCCUCUCCUGCGGGCCUCGUGGCGUCUGCGGGCUAGCUUUUCACCAAAACUUGGGUUUUCAUGUCAUUUACUCUAUCAUAGUGUUGUAUUAGGACAUGUUAACAUGAGAAAGCAAACAUCUACCCAAAUCCUCAAAAGAUUCUGCUCCGUCCGUCCGAAUUGCGACUUUUCCCCAUCUAAUUCUAGAAUGUUCGUGCGUGUUAGUCUAGUUUGUGAAGGAUGUGCAACCUCAUAUACUUGGAUUGUGUUUUCCUCUUAACACCAUGUUUAUGUACCCAUUUGAUGACAUCAUCCAAGAUUUCAAGUUCUCUGGACCAUUCGUCGUGUGAUUUCAGGCAUCGCCACCUCCUGCGGGCCUCGUGGCGUUUGCGGGCUAGCUUUUC